GUCCACGCCGUAACGAUGUCAACUAGCCGUUGGGAGCCUUGAGCUCUUAGUGGCGCAGCUAACGCAUUAAGUUGACCGCCUGGGGAGUACGGCCGCAAGGUUAAACUCAAAUGAAUUGACGGGGCCCGCACAAGCGGUGGAGCAUGUGGUUUAAUUCGAAGCAACGCGAAGAACCUUACCAGGCCUUGACAUCCAAUGAACUUUCCAGAGAUGGAUUGGUGCCUUCGGGAGCAUUGAGACAGGUGCUGCAUGGCUGUCGU
This 260-nucleotide ribosomal RNA is filed under the name uncultured bacterium. RNAcentral describes it as "partial 16S ribosomal RNA". It matches the Rfam family "Bacterial small subunit ribosomal RNA", at positions 793 to 1055 of the family's 1533-position model. The record is from RNAcentral.